RNAcentral lists this ribosomal RNA (440 nucleotides) under uncultured bacterium. RNAcentral's name for it is "partial 16S ribosomal RNA". It matches the Rfam family "Bacterial small subunit ribosomal RNA", at positions 338 to 795 of the family's 1533-position model. The record is from RNAcentral.
CCUACGGGGGGCAGCAGUGGGGAAUAUUGCACAAUGGGGGGAACCCUGAUGCAGCGACGCCGCGUGGGUGAGGAAGUACUUCGGUAUGUAAAGCCCUAUCAGCAGGGAAGAAAAUGACGGUACCUGACUAAGAAGCCCCGGCUAACUACGUGCCAGCAGCCGCGGUAAUACGUAGGGGGCAAGCGUUAUCCGGAUUUACUGGGUGUAAAGGGAGCGUAGACGGCGUGCCAAGUCUGGUGGGAAAGGCCGGGGCCCAACCCCGGGACUGCAUUGGAAACUGGCAUGCUGGGGUGCCGGAGGGGGAAGCGGAAUUCCCAGUGGAGCGGUGAAAUGCGUAGAUAUUAAGAGGAACACCGGUGGCGAAGGCCGGUUGCUGGACGGUAACUGACGUUGAGGCUCGAAAGCGUGGGGAGCCAACAGGAUUAGAUACCCGAGUAGUC